GUGGGGAAUAUUGCGCAAUGGGGGAAACCCUGACGCAGCAACGCCGCGUGAUUGAAGAAGGCCUUCGGGUUGUAAAGAUCUUUAAUUGGGGACGAAAUAAAUGACGGUACCCAAAGAAUAAGCUCCGGCUAACUACGUGCCAGCAGCCGCGGUAAUACGUAGGGAGCAAGCGUUAUCCGGAUUUACUGGGUGUAAAGGGCGAGUAGGCGGGCCGACAAGUUGGGAGUGAAAUCCGGGGGCUUAACCCCCGAACUGCUUUCAAAACUGUUGGUCUUGAGUGAUGGAGAGGCAGGCGGAAUUCCCAGUGUAGCGGUGAAAUGCGUAGAUAUUGGGAGGAACACCAGUGGCGAAGGCGGCCUGCUGGACAUUAACUGACGCUGAGGUGCGAAAGCGUGGGGAGCAAACAGGAUUAGAAACCCGGGUAGUCC
Molecule: ribosomal RNA, 428 nt
Filed under: uncultured bacterium
Lineage: Bacteria
Description: partial 16S ribosomal RNA
Rfam family: Bacterial small subunit ribosomal RNA
Source: RNAcentral